Molecule: non-coding RNA, 702 nt
Organism: Notechis scutatus (mainland tiger snake)
Lineage: Eukaryota; Metazoa; Chordata; Lepidosauria; Squamata; Elapidae
Source: RefSeq, a predicted model, not a curated record
UUUAGUAACUUUUUUGUUUUACUGUAGGUAUGGAACAGGCUGCUUCUUACUCUGCAAUACGGGCCAUAAGCCUGCACUCUCUGAGCAUGGCCUCUUAACCACUGUGGCUUACAAAUUGGGUAGAGACAAGGCUGUAUGUUAUGCAUUAGAAGGCUCUGUUGCUAUUGCAGGAGCUGUUGUUCGUUGGUUGAGGGACAAUCUUGGUAUUGCAAAAUCUUCAGAAGAAGUAGAGAAACUUGCUGCUGAAGUAGGCACAUCUUACGGCUGCUACUUUGUUCCUGCAUUUUCAGGAUUAUAUGCACCAUACUGGGAACCCAGUGCAAGAGGGUAAAUAUUAUCUGAUUGAAUGUUAAAUAGUAUUCUGGUAUUUUGCUAAUAAACAGGGCUUAUGAAAGAUUGAGUGUCUGCUUUAUGCCAAAGGAAAGUACCACUGCUGAUAUCUAUAUUCACUUCAUUUGAUAUUCCCCAGCCCUAUGCCCAGUUUUCCUUUAAAAAAUAUUUAUAUUAAACCAGAUAUAAAAGAAGCUGACCUAGUAGUUCUUCCUGUUAUAAACUACCAUCUUCAAAAAUAUAUUUAUUUCCGAGAAUGCCUUCUUGUCCACAUUUAUUUGGGCAAUGGCAAAACUCCUUAUGGCAGCUAUUUUCUUGAAUGCAUCUGCUGACCAUUGUUCCAAACUAAAUAGAUCAACGAUCGUCAACCAG